GACGAACGCUGGCGGCGUGCUUAACACAUGCAAGUCGAACGAUGAAGAAAAGAAUUGCAGCUUCGGCAGAAAUUCAUUUCGGAUUAGUGGCAGACGGGUGAGUAACGCGUGAGCAACCUACCUCUUACAAAGGGAUAGCCUCGGGAAACCGGGAUUAAUACCAUAUAACAUUGCGACGAAGCAUUUCGAUGCAAUCAAUGCUACGGCGGUAAGAGAUGGGUUGGCGUCCCAUUAACCAGAUGGUGAGGUAACGGCUCACCAUAGUAACGAUGGGUAACCGGGCUGAGAGGGUGACCCGUCACACUGGAACUGAGACACGGUGCGGACUCCUACGGGAGGCAGCAGUGGGGAACAUUGCACAAUGGAGGGAACUCUGAUGCAGCGACGCCGCGUGAGUGAGGAAGGAAUUCGGUUCGUAAAACUCUGUUCUAUGUGAAGAAAAGGACUGUACCAUAGGAGAAAGCUCCGGCUAAAUACGUG
This 480-nucleotide ribosomal RNA is filed under the name uncultured bacterium. RNAcentral's name for it is "partial 16S ribosomal RNA". It matches the Rfam family "Bacterial small subunit ribosomal RNA", at positions 28 to 507 of the family's 1533-position model. The record is from RNAcentral.